AAAUUAUAACUUAAUUAAAGUAUUUUAUUUACAUUAAAAUUAUAUUGUUUAAAUCAAUUAAUUUGA
RNAcentral lists this transfer RNA (66 nucleotides) under Xenopsylla cheopis (oriental rat flea). RNAcentral's name for it is "tRNA-Val". Lineage: Eukaryota; Metazoa; Arthropoda; Insecta; Siphonaptera; Pulicidae. The record is from RNAcentral.